This 1220-nucleotide ribosomal RNA is filed under the name metagenome. RNAcentral's name for it is "SSU rRNA". It matches the Rfam family "Eukaryotic small subunit ribosomal RNA", at positions 549 to 1793 of the family's 1831-position model. The record is from RNAcentral.
CUGCGGCUAACUACGUGCCAGCAGCCGCGGUAAUUCCAGCUCCAAUAGCGUAUAUUAAAGUUGUUGCGGUUAAAAAGCUCGUAGUUGGAUCUCGGUUUCACUCAGGCGGUACACCUUGCGGUGUUCACUGUCUGGGCGGACGUUUCUGUUGGUUCGCUGUUGGUUCUCUUAAUCGAGUGCCAAUUGGUGGCCAGCACGUUUACUUUGAAAAAAUUGGAGUGCUCAAAGCAGGCGUUACAGCCUGAACAUUAGUGCAUGGAAUAAUGGAAUAGGAUCUCGAUUCUAUUUCGUUGGCUUUCGGAGUCGAGGUAAUGAUUAAUAGGGACAGACGGGGGCAUUCGUACUGCGACGUUAGAGGUGAAAUUCUUGGAUCGUCGCAAGACGAACUACUGCGAAAGCAUUUGCCAAGAAUGUUUUCAUUAAUCAAGAACGAAAGUUAGAGGUUCGAAGGCGAUCAGAUACCGCCCUAGUUCUAACCAUAAACGAUGCCAACCGGCGAUCCGUCGUCGUUAAUUGAAUGACUCGACGGGCAGCCUCCGGGAAACCAGAGUGUUUGGGUUCCGGGGGAAGUAUGGUUGCAAAGCUGAAACUUAAAGGAAUUGACGGAAGGGCACCACCAGCAGUGGAGCCUGCGGCUUAAUUUGACCCAACACGGGAAAUCUCACCAGGCCCGGACACCGGAAGGAUUGACAGAUUGAGAGCUCUUUCUUGAUUCGGUGGGUGGUGGUGCAUGGCCGUUCUUAGUUGGUGGAGCGAUUUGUCUGGUUAAUUCCGAUAACGAACGAGACUCUGGCCUACUAACUAGAAGGGUCGUUCUUUACGAGCGGCCCUCUGCUUCUUAGAGGGACGGGCGGCGUUUAGCCGCACGAGAAUGAGCAAUAACAGGUCUGUGAUGCCCUUAGAUGUUCUGGGCUGCACGCGCGCUACACUGAAGGAAUCAGCAUGUUCUCCCCUCCCUGAAAAGGGCGGGUAACCCGUUGAAACUCCUUCGUGAUGGGGAUUGGAGAUUGUAAUUAUUCUCCAUGAACGAGGAAUUCCCAGUAGGCGCGAGUCAUCAGCUUGCGUCGAUUACGUCCCUGCCCUUUGUACACACCGCCCGUCGCUACUACCGAUCGAGUGAUUUAGUGAGGACUUCGGACUGGUCUCCAAGUUGGCUUCGGUCAGCUCGGAGUUCCGGAAAGAUGCCCAAACUUGAUCACUUAGAGGAAGUAAAAGUCGUA